ACUCCUACGGGAGGCAGCAGUGGGGAAUAUUGCACAAUGGGCGCAAGCCUGAUGCAGCCAUGCCGCNGUGUGUGAAGAAGGCCUUCGGGUUGUAAAGCACUUUCAGUCAGGAGGAAAGGUUAGUAGUUAAUACCUGCUAGCUGUGACGUUACUGACAGAAGAAGCACCGGCUAANNCCNGG
This 181-nucleotide ribosomal RNA is filed under the name uncultured Gammaproteobacteria bacterium. Its description in RNAcentral is "partial 16S ribosomal RNA". It matches the Rfam family "Bacterial small subunit ribosomal RNA", at positions 335 to 507 of the family's 1533-position model. Lineage: Bacteria; Pseudomonadati; Pseudomonadota; Gammaproteobacteria. The record is from RNAcentral.